GCAUGGGUUUGGAUUUAUGGCAGGUUUGUCCCUCUGAACCUCUCAUAGUGUCCUUUGCCAGAGCAAACUAUGUCUCUGAACCAUUGCCUGCAGGCUGCUGGCACUGAACUGGGUUGCACAGUG
This 123-nucleotide small nucleolar RNA is filed under the name Castor canadensis (American beaver). RNAcentral's name for it is "Small nucleolar RNA SNORA42/SNORA80 family (ENSCCNG00000021410.1)". It matches the Rfam family "Small nucleolar RNA SNORA42/SNORA80 family". Rfam says of the family: The members of this family belong to the H/ACA class of snoRNAs that guide the sites of modification of uridines to pseudouridines. Human ACA42 (SNORA42) was cloned from HeLa cells by immunoprecipitation with anti-GAR1 antibody. The record is from Rfam by way of RNAcentral. Lineage: Eukaryota; Metazoa; Chordata; Mammalia; Rodentia; Castoridae.